This 311-nucleotide long non-coding RNA is filed under the name Helianthus annuus (common sunflower). RNAcentral's name for it is "sRNA HanXRQr2_Chr16g0749211". Lineage: Eukaryota; Viridiplantae; Streptophyta; Magnoliopsida; Asterales; Asteraceae. The record is from RNAcentral.
GCCAAACACCCCUUACAUCACUUUCAUUUUAAUCUUCAAAAACUCAAGAAUUCAUACACUUAUGGAGGUCCAUGGAUAAAACUAGCUACAAGGGUGUUUAGAAAAGCUAUUAGGAGCCUUUUUGGUGGAACUUGAAGCUUUGGAUCAACAAGAUUUCUUAUCAUCAUCUUUAUUUCCUUGCAAAAAAAUUAUAUUGAUACUUGAUGGAGAUUAGUGGACGGCUUUGGAAAAAUAUGUUCAAGUGGUUAUCAAGAACGCAAGCUUUUGUGAUGUCAUCUGUUUUCGGUUGUUAUGUUUUGAACUUUGAAUAA